AACGCACCUUGCACCCUUUGGUAUUCCGAAGAGUAUGUCUGUUUGAGUGUCAUGAAACUCUCAACCCCCUUGUUUUGUAAUGAGACAAGUGCGGGCUUGGAUUAUGGCUGCUGUCGGCGUAAAGUCGGCUCAGCUGAAAUAUACGAGCAACCCAUUUGAAAUAGACGGCUUGACUCGGCGUAAUAAUUAUUUCGCUGAGGACGUCUUCUUCAAACGUUAGUGGUGCUUCUAGUGCAAUCAUUUAAGCUUUAGACCUCAAACCAGUCAGGACUACCCGCUGAACUUAA
Molecule: unclassified non-coding RNA, 287 nt
Filed under: uncultured fungus
Lineage: Eukaryota; Fungi
Description: partial contains 5.8S ribosomal RNA, internal transcribed spacer 2, and large subunit ribosomal RNA
Source: RNAcentral